RNAcentral lists this ribosomal RNA (1050 nucleotides) under uncultured Bacillus sp. Its description in RNAcentral is "bacterial SSU rRNA". It matches the Rfam family "Bacterial small subunit ribosomal RNA", at positions 83 to 1287 of the family's 1533-position model. Lineage: Bacteria; Bacillati; Bacillota; Bacilli; Caryophanales; Bacillaceae. The record is from RNAcentral.
UCCCGGAUGUUAGCGGCGGACGGGUGAGUAACACGUGGGUAACCUGCCUGUAAGACUGGGAUAACUCCGGGAAACCGGAGCUAAUACCGGAUAGUUCCUUGAACCGCAUGGUUCAAGGAUGAAAGACGGUUUCGGCUGUCACUUACAGAUGGCGGACCCGCGGCGCAUUAGCUAGUUGGUGAGGUAACGAACCGCUCACCAAGGCGACGAUGCGUAGCCGACCUGAGAGGGUGAUCGGCCACACUGGGACUGAGACACGGCCCACAGACUCCUACGGGAGGCAGCAGUAGGGAAUCUUCCGCAAUGGACGAAAGUCGUCUGAUGUGAAAGCCCCCCACGGCUCCAAAACCGGGGACCAGGGUCAUUGGAAACUGGGAAACUUGAGUGCAGAAGGGAGAGUGGAAUUCCACGUGUAGCGGUGAAAUGCGUAGAGAUGUGGAGGAACACCAGUGGCGAAGGCGACUCUCUGGUCUGUAACUGACGCUGAGGAGCGAAAGCGUGGGGAGCGAACACAGGAUUAGAUACCCUGGUAGUCCACGCCGUAAACGAUGAGUGCUAAGUGUUAGGGGGUUUCCGCCCCUUAGUGCUGCAGCUAACGCAUUAAGCACUCCGCCUGGGGAGUACCACGGUCGCAAGACUGAAACUCAAAGACCGAAUUGACGGGGGCCCGCACAAGCGGUGGAGCAUGUGGUUUAAUUCGAAGCCACAACGCGAAGAACCUUACCAGGUCUUGACAUCCUCACUGACAACCCUAGAGAUAGGGCUUUCCCAACUUCGGGGACAGAGUGACAGGUGGUGCAUGGUUGUCGUCAGCUCGUGUCGUGAGAUGUUGGGUUAAGUCCCGCAACGAGCGCAACCCUUGAUCUUAGUUGCCACACGCAUUCAGUUGGGCACUCUAAGGUGACUGCCGGUGACAAACCGACCACACGAGGAAGGUGGGGAUGACGUCAAAUCAUCAUGCCCCUUAUGACCUGGGCUACACACGUGCUACAAUGGACAGAACAAAGGGCUGCGAGACCGCAAGGUUUAGCCAAUCCCACAAAUCUGUUC